GGGCCAGACUCCUACGGGAGGCAGCAGUGGGGAAUAUUGCGCAAUGGGCGAAAGCCUGACGCAGCGACGCCGCGUGAGGGAAGACGGUCUUCGGAUUGUAAACCUCUGUCUUUGGGGAAGAAAAUGACGGUACCCAAAGAGGAAGCUCCGGCUAACUACGUGCCAGCAGCCGCGGUAAUACGUAGGGAGCGAGCGUUGUCCGGAAUUACUGGGUGUAAAGGGAGCGUAGGCGGGCGAGAAAGUUGAAUGUUAAAUCUACCGGCUUAACUGGUAGCUGCGUUCAAAACUUCUUGUCUUGAGUGAAGUAGAGGCAGGCGGAAUUCCUAGUGUAGCGGUGAAAUGCGUAGAUAUCAGGAGGAACACCGGUGGCGAGGGCGGCCUGCUGGACUGCGACUGACGUUGAGGCCCGAAAGCGUGGGGAGCAAACAGGAUUAGAUACCCCGGUAC
This 447-nucleotide ribosomal RNA is filed under the name uncultured bacterium. RNAcentral describes it as "partial 16S ribosomal RNA". It matches the Rfam family "Bacterial small subunit ribosomal RNA", at positions 328 to 793 of the family's 1533-position model. The record is from RNAcentral.